GUGGGGAAUAUUGCGCAAUGGACGAAAGUCUGACGCAGCGACGCCGCGUGAGUGAAGAAGGCCUUCGGGUUGUAAAGCUCUGUCGGAUGGGACGAAAACCUUACAGUUAACAGCUGUGAGCUUGACGGUACCGUCAAAGGAAGCACCGGCUAACUCUGUGCCAGCAGCCGCGGUAAUACAGAGGGUGCAAGCGUUGCUCGGAAUUAUUGGGCGUAAAGGGCAAGUAGGUGGUCUCGUUUGUCCCGGGUGAAAUCCCUGAGCUUAACUCAGGAAGUGCCCUGGAAACGGCGAGACUGGAGUACUGGAGAGGUUCGUGGAAUUCCCGGUGUAGCGGUGAAAUGCGUAGAGAUCGGGAGGAACACCUGAGGCGAAAGCGGCGAACUGGACAGUUACUGACACUCAACUGCGAAAGCGUGGGGAGCAAACAGGAUUAGAAACCCCAGUAGUCC
This 449-nucleotide ribosomal RNA is filed under the name uncultured bacterium. RNAcentral describes it as "bacterial SSU rRNA". It matches the Rfam family "Bacterial small subunit ribosomal RNA", at positions 354 to 796 of the family's 1533-position model. The record is from RNAcentral.